Mercenaria mercenaria is the source of this 391-nucleotide long non-coding RNA. RefSeq lists it as uncharacterized. The transcript has 3 exons. Lineage: Eukaryota; Metazoa; Mollusca; Bivalvia; Venerida; Veneridae. The record is from RefSeq and is a predicted model, not a curated record.
AAUUUACUUGACGUAGUUUUUCAGUGGUAUGCCUGCAUGCAUUUGGAUGUAGACGUGUCUGCAUGUACUUUGAUCAUACAUGAGAGGUAUACAAAAACAUGCGGCCACAUGUGCUCGUAUAUUGUGCAUACGUGUUUUGCCUUUUGACAAGAACCGUUUGUGACACUGCAAAGAUGCCAGUGUAUGGUCCUAAUCAGCAUUCCGCACUGUUUCCAGCGAUGUAUCUUAUAUAUGUCGUUGUGGUAAUUCUUAUGGUUGUGGCUCUGCUAGCACCUGCAAGUCACCUGGACCCGGAUAUAGAGAAAAUGUUCUAUUUUGAAGAGAAAGGAGCAUCGGUUGAGUGAUUUUAUUGGCUGACAUACAAUUUAGCAAAAAAUAAAAGUAACACAAG